This 427-nucleotide ribosomal RNA is filed under the name uncultured Verrucomicrobiota bacterium. Its description in RNAcentral is "bacterial SSU rRNA". It matches the Rfam family "Bacterial small subunit ribosomal RNA", at positions 608 to 1029 of the family's 1533-position model. Lineage: Bacteria; Pseudomonadati; Verrucomicrobiota. The record is from RNAcentral.
CUCAACCCCGAACCGGCGCCCGAAACUAUUCGGCUAGAGUACUGGAGAGGGAAGCGGAAUUCACGGUGUAGCAGUGAAAUGCGUAGAUAUCGUGAGGAACACCAGUGGCGAAGGCGGCUUCCUGGACAGUUACUGACGCUCAGGCACGAAAGCGUGGGGAGCGAAAGGGAUUAGAUACCCCUGUAGUCCACGCCCUAAACGGUGCGCAUUAGGUGUUGGAGGAUUCGACCCCUUCAGUGCCCAAGCUAACGCGAUAAAUGCGCCGCCUGAGGACUACGGCCGCAAGGCUAAAACUCAAAGGAAUUGACGGGGGCCCGCACAAGCGGUGGAGCAUGUGGCUUAAUUCGAUGCAACGCGAAGAACCUUACCUGGCCUUGACAUGCAAGUGGUAGAAGCCUGAAAGGGUGACGACCCCGCAAGGGGAGCU